AACAUAUCAAUAAGCGGAGGAAAAGAAACCAACAGGGAUUGCCCUAGUAACGGCGAGUGAAGCGGCAACAGCUCAAAUUUGAAAUCUGGCUCUUUCAGAGUCCGAGUUGUAAUUUGCAGAGGGCGCUUUGGCGUUGGCAGCGGUCCAAGUUCCUUGGAACAGGACGUCACAGAGGGUGAGAAUCCCGUACGUGGUCGCUGGCCUUCGCCGUGUAAAGCCCCUUCGACGAGUCGAGUUGUUUGGGAAUGCAGCUCUAAAUGGGAGGUAAAUUUCUUCUAAAGCUAAAUACUGGCCAGAGACCGAUAGCGCACAAGUAGAGUGAUCGAAAGAUGAAAAGCACUUUGGAAAGAGAGUCAAAUAGCACGUGAAAUUGUUGAAAGGGAAGCGCUUGCAGCCAGACUUGCCUGUAGUUGCUCAUCCGGGCUUUUGCCCGGUGCACUCUUCUGCGGGCAGGCCAGCAUCAGUUUGGGCGGUUGGAUAAAGGUCUCUGUCAUGUACCUCUCUUCGGGGAGGCCUUAUAGGGGAGACGUCAUGCAACCAGCCUGGACUGAGGUCCGCGCAUUUAUGCUAGGAUGCUGGCGUAAUGGCUGUAAGCGGCCCGUCUUGAAACACGGACCAAGGAGUCUAACAUCUAUGCGAGUGUUUGGGUGUCAAGCCCGAACGCGUAAUGAAAGUGAACGGAGGUGGGACCCCAUUAGGGUGCACCAUCGACCGAUCCUGAUGUCUUCGGAUGGAUUUGAGUAAGAGCAUGGCUGUUGGGACCCGAAAGAUGGUGAACUAUGCUUGAAUAGGGUGAAGCCAGAGGAAACUCUGGUGGAGGCUCGCAGCGGUUCUGACGUGCAAAUCGAUCGUCAAAUUUGGGCAUAGGGGCGAAAGACUAAUCGAACUAUCUAGUAGCUGGUCUGCUGCU
Molecule: ribosomal RNA, 910 nt
Filed under: Camarosporidiella halimodendri
Lineage: Eukaryota; Fungi; Ascomycota; Dothideomycetes; Pleosporales
Description: partial large subunit ribosomal RNA
Rfam family: Eukaryotic large subunit ribosomal RNA
Source: RNAcentral